UAAACAGUAAUUUGUUGUUUGGCAGCAUUUCACCAUAAAGUUACACUUUUCUUUACUGCGUUUGAACCCAAGUGGUGACCCAGAUACCGUACCUCCCUUCGUCCAACCGCGCACUUCUUCGGGUUGGCCGUCAGCUCCGCCUGUCUCAAGGACUCCAGCACCGCGGCCACUUGUUGCACAUGCGCCGCCCAGCUGUUGCUGUGGAUGAUAACGUCAUCCAGGUAGGCGGCUGCAUAUGCCGCGUGCGGCCACAGUACCCCGUCCAUGAGACGCUGGAACGUGGCUGGGGCUCCGAAGAACCCGAACGGAAGCAUCACGAAUUGGUACAAGUCGUAUGGAGUGGAGAAGGCCGUUUUCUCCCUGGACUCUGGCACACACACUUUGAUGAUUGUAAGGUCAGUUCAACAGCAAGCCCUGGAAGAGGGUCCCUCUUGCCAAAAUCUUCCCUUGGAUUUCUCCAAUGUUUCCUCUCUGGAGGAUUUUUGGAGUUUUUCAUGUUGACAAGAGGUUGCUGGUCUGACCAGAUAAAUUUCCUUCUUUUUUUGUUUAGUUUUUAAAUGUAACACACACUUUGAUGAUUGUAAGGUCAGUUCAACAGCAAGCCCUGGAAGAGGGUCCCUCUUGCCGACAUCUUCCCUUGGAUUUCUCCAAUGUUUCCUCUCUAGAGGAUUUUUGGAGUUUUUCAUGUUGACAAGAGGUUGCUGGUCUGACCAGAUAAGUUUCCUUCUUUUUUGUUAAGUUUUUAAAUGUAACACACACUUUGAUGAUUGUAAGGUCAGUUCAACAGCAAGCCCUGGAAGAGGGUCCCUCUUGCCAAAAUCUUCCCUUGGAUUUCUCCAAUGUUUCCUCUCUGGAGGAUUUUUGGAGUUUUUCAUGUUGACAAGAGGUUGCUGGUCUGACCAGAUAAGUUUCCUUCUUUUUUGUUAAGUUUUUAAAUGUAACACACACUUUGAUGAUUGUAAGGUCAGUUCAACAGCAAGCCCUGGAAGAGGGUCCCUCUUGCCGAAAUCUUCCCUUGGAUUUCUCCAAUGUUUCCUCUCUGGAGGAUUUUUGGAGUUUUUCAUGUUGACAAGAGGUUGCUGGUCUGACCAGAUAAGUUUCCUUCUUUUUUGUUAAGUUUUUAAAUGUAACACACACUUUGAUGAUUGUAAGGUCAGUUCAACAGCAAGCCCUGGAAGAGGGUCCCUCUUGCCGACAUCUUCCCUUGGAUUUCUCCAAUGUUUCCUCUCUAGAGGAUUUUUGGAGUUUUUCAUGUUGACAAGAGGUUGCUGGUCUGACCAGAUAAGUUUCCUUCUUUUUUGUUAAGUUUUUAAAUGUAACACACACUUUGAUGAUUGUAAGGUCAGUUCAACAGCAAGCCCUGGAAGAGGGUCCCUCUUGCCGAAAUCUUCCCUUGGAUUUCUCCAAUGUUUCCUCUCUGGAGGAUUUUUGGAGUUUUUCAUGUUGACAAGAGGUUGCUGGUCUGACCAGAUAAGUUUCCUUCUUUUUUGUUAAGUUUUUAAAUGUAACACACACUUUGAUGAUUGUAAGGUCAGUUCAACAGCAAGCCCUGGAAGAGGGUCCCUCUUGCCGAAAUCUUCCCUUGGAUUUCUCCAAUGUUUCCUCUCUAGAGGAUUUUUGGAGUUUUUCAUGUUGACAAGAGGUUGCUGGUCUGACCAGAUAAGUUUCCUUCUUUUUUGUUAAGUUUUUAAAUGUAACACACACUUUGAUGAUUGUAAGGUCAGUUCAACAGCAAGCCCUGGAAGAGGGUCCCUCUUGCCGAAAUCUUCCCUUGGAUUUCUCCAAUGUUUCCUCUCUGGAGGAUUUUUGGAGUUUUUCAUGUUGACAAGAGGUUGCUGGUCUGACCAGAUAAGUUUCCUUCUUUUUUGUUAAGUUUUUAAAUGUAACACACACUUUGAUGAUUGUAAGGUCAGUUCAACAGCAAGCCCUGGAAGAGGGUCCCUCUUGCCGACAUCUUCCCUUGGAUUUCUCCAAUGUUUCCUCUCUAGAGGAUUUUUGGAGUUUUUCAUGUUGACAAGAGGUUGCUGGUCUGACCAGAUAAGUUUCCUUCUUUUUUGUUAAG
Molecule: long non-coding RNA, 2062 nt
Organism: Acanthochromis polyacanthus (spiny chromis)
Lineage: Eukaryota; Metazoa; Chordata; Actinopteri; Pomacentridae
Exons: 2
Source: RefSeq, a predicted model, not a curated record